Molecule: non-coding RNA, 92 nt
Organism: Acanthosepion pharaonis
Lineage: Eukaryota; Metazoa; Mollusca; Cephalopoda; Sepiida; Sepiidae
Source: the annotation of a GenBank genome assembly
CUCUGGUUCUCGUACGAUCACUGAACUUAAGCAACAUCGAGCCUCAUCAGUAAUUAGAUGGGUGACCGCUUUGGAAUACCAAGUGCUGUAAG